This 274-nucleotide ribosomal RNA is filed under the name uncultured bacterium. RNAcentral's name for it is "partial 16S ribosomal RNA". It matches the Rfam family "Bacterial small subunit ribosomal RNA", at positions 523 to 796 of the family's 1533-position model. The record is from RNAcentral.
AUACGGAGGGGGCAAGCGUUGUUCGGAAUUACUGGGCGUAAAGGGCGCGUAGGCGGAUUAUCAAGUCAGAGGUGAAAGCCCUGGGCUCAACCUGGGAACUGCCUUUGAAACUGAUAGUCUUGAGUCCGAGAGAGGAUGGCGGAAUUCCCAGUGUAGAGGUGAAAUUCGUAGAUAUUGGGAAGAACACCAGUGGCGAAGGCGGCCAUCUGGCUCGGUACUGACGCUGAGGUGCGAAAGCGUGGGUAGCAAACAGGAUUAGAAACCCCGGUAGUCC